UACGUAGGGAGCAAGCGUUGUUCGGAUUUACUGGGCGUAAAGGGCGCGUAGGCGGCCUGCUAAGUCGAACGUGAAAUCCCUGGGCUCAACCCAGGAACUGCGUCCGAUACUGGUUGGCUUGAAUCCGGGAGAGGGACGUGGAAUUCCAGGUGUAGCGGUGAAAUGCGUAGAUAUCUGGAGGAACACCGGUGGCGAAGGCGACGUCCUGGACCGGCAUUGACGCUGAGGCGCGAAAGCGUGGGGAGCAAACAGG
RNAcentral lists this ribosomal RNA (253 nucleotides) under uncultured bacterium. RNAcentral's name for it is "partial 16S ribosomal RNA". It matches the Rfam family "Bacterial small subunit ribosomal RNA", at positions 524 to 776 of the family's 1533-position model. The record is from RNAcentral.